UUUGAAUGAAGAAGUGGGCCUAGAAGAAUUUGGACCCAAACCAAGGAUAUGAAAGUUUUAUACGAGGAAAAGGACAAAAGCUAAUAAUGAGGUGGCAGAUAAAUUGGUUAUAUAAGUCAGAGUAAUGAUUGGAAGGAAUCAUCUUGGUUUUCAGCAUCUUUUGUGGGGUCACUAGACAUAGUGAUUGAGAGCAAGCUUUGCGCUGCUUUUGGGCUGCUAGUUAUUCUAGUAGUUUGUUAUUUUCCCUUUUACACUUAAAUCCAUUGUAC
This 269-nucleotide long non-coding RNA is filed under the name Trifolium pratense (red clover). RNAcentral describes it as "long non-coding RNA (TPRA_LNC008992)". The record is from RNAcentral. Lineage: Eukaryota; Viridiplantae; Streptophyta; Magnoliopsida; Fabales; Fabaceae.